GUCCGGGGACGACCCCAGGACUUCUUACAACUGCGGGACGGCCCGC
RNAcentral lists this non-coding RNA (46 nucleotides) under Pseudomonas sp. Its description in RNAcentral is "Guanidine-II sequence". It matches the Rfam family "Guanidine-II riboswitch aptamer (mini-ykkC)". From Rfam's summary of the family: Simpler in structure and has fewer highly conserved nucleotide positions than the ykkC-yxkD leader. Despite this each of its two stem-loop structures directly bind free guanidine. Therefore, mini-ykkC RNA motif represents a distinct class of guanidine-sensing RNAs. RNAcentral also lists the same sequence under 1 other name. The record is from RNAcentral. Lineage: Bacteria; Pseudomonadati; Pseudomonadota; Gammaproteobacteria; Pseudomonadales; Pseudomonadaceae.